Molecule: long non-coding RNA, 2470 nt
Organism: Diorhabda sublineata
Lineage: Eukaryota; Metazoa; Arthropoda; Insecta; Coleoptera; Chrysomelidae
Exons: 3
Source: RefSeq, a predicted model, not a curated record
AUAAAGUCAAACGAACCGGAGCAUGAGAUAUACGGCAAAUAUUCAUAUUAAAUGACAGAUUUCACAACAGAGUACUUUUUUUACAUAAUCAGAAGUUUUUAUAUAAUCAGAACAAUAUGAGGUAAUAUCAAUGUUCGAUGGAACGUCAACAUUUUUAAAUUUUUUAAAUAACAAAGUGGUUCUAAUGUAAUAUACAUGUUUAUGUAAAUCAUGAUUAGAUUAGCCGAUAUGAAUUAUAAAUUGAUCAUAGUACGAUUGACGACGUGGUUUAAUCAUUCGGUUUACUGGUUUAACAAUGUUUGUUGCGAAAGUAAUCAUCUUUUGGAAUUGUCCAAAAUGUCAGAAAACGUCUUAAAAUUCCAAUGAAUCGCUUAGAAAAAGCUCCAACUUUCUAAAUAAGCGAGGCAAUUGCAUUUGUAACGGCUUGGAUUAUUAUUUUUCACUCGUAACUCGACGUAAUCCUUUGAAAACAAUUAGACCUACGUUCUCGUGAUACUUCCUUGAAUAUUGUUAUAUUUUAUGAUUAUUACCAAUACUACAAUUAGUCUGUCAAAAUUUGUAAGUACGUAAAUGAAAUUUUUUAUAUUUAAUCCGUAUAGUACCGAAUAUUUUGCAAAUUUAAUUCCAAAUUGUCGAUUAAAAUAUGAUGUAGAGCUUUUUAUAAAGAAUAAUAAUAUAAAAUUUAUAAAUUUGAUUAGAAAUAUCAUCGUAAAAAAAUUUAAAUACUACAAAACUUCAAUGUAUCUGUUUUCGAUUGAAGGGGAAUGUAAAUAACAAUGCUAACAUUUAAUUAUAAUUACAUCAAUAACGUAUCAAAAUUGCGGGUACAUGUAUACUUCUCUUUUAGCUUCAGCUUCUCUUUAAGCAAAUUAUUUCUGUGUUUUAGAAAAUUCGCACCUUGACUCUUGCCACACUUCGGCAUACAGUUGGAUAAAAACUCAUCUGCCCUAAACAUGCCUUUGACCUUGAGUCCAGGGAUAACUCAUAAUAGGAAGAGGACCUUGUAUGGUCUCUUUUAAAACAAGUCUAACCAUAUAGGAAGUUAUAGUUUCACUUACUUUCAAGAGGAUAAAUAUCUCGCUCAUAUUGGAACACUGCGGAAUACUGGAUUGCAAGUACAAAUUCUCUUAUAUGUGAUUUAGUGUCGAUAAUUAUUCUACAGUCUGUUGUCUUGUUGAAUAUAAUGCUGCCAUUAAUAAUGAACAAUUGCGAAUGUAUAGAAAUAAUUACAUAAACUACAGAUGAUGCUGAUUCAAUUGAAUUUCAUUGAAAGAGGAUCGUUGUCUGAUCUUCUCGAGAACUGUUAGUUGAAAGGGUUUUAGGGACGAGGAUGGUCACAGAAAUACCUGACCUGAGAGAUGGCGGUAGCUGCUUGAAAAAUACCACUGUAUUAGAAAGUACACGAUCUGUACAGAUUAUGUUUUAAGUUUGGAAACGCCACGUUGUUUAGUAUUCGUUUGCCAGCCAUCAAUAGUGAAUGUUUUCAGUGAAUUGGUAAAUAUGAAAAAAAUUGGUCAUCGAUAUGUGAUUUGAAACGCUUUAGUCCAACCAAUAUAAAAGCUGAACUAGAUUCUACUCUCGGUGAAACUGCUCUUUCGUUAUCAACAGUGAAAUAUUGGCGUUUAAAAGAGGCCUGCGAAUACCAGCAUCGCAGUGGUCUACCAAAUGUCUGCGCGAGCUAGCAGACUUAGUAGGGAUUUGAAAAAGUGAGGUACAUCGCAUAUUAAGUAAAAAUUUGGAACAAUAAUAAGGUCGUUAAGAUGCUUCCAUUGAGUGCUUGGCAAUGUUUCACAGAAAUAAAGCCAAAUUUUUGCGCUGUUUCAUAACUAUGGAUGAAACGUGUGUCCAUCAUUUUACACCCGAAAAGAAGAUAAAAAGACGGCUCCUUUUGCAGACAAGAUAAUUGCUUCGGUUUUUUGGGAAGUGCAUAGGAUAAUUUUCAUCUUAAAAAAGGAAAAGAUUUUCUGCUUUCUACCACAUUUGGCUAAGAAGAAAGUAUUGUUUCAUCAAGACAAUGUACCAGUUCACACAUCCAUUAUUGCAAUGGCCAAAAUCAAUGAAUUAAAGUUUGAAUUGCUACCUCAUGCACCCUAUUUGUCAGAUUUAGCCCAUUCGAAUUAUUUUCUGUUUCCACACUUAAAAAAAUGAGACAGUGAUCAACGAUUUUCCAACAAUGAAAAAGUGAUGUCGACAGUUAAUGGCUAUUUUGAGGAGUUUGAAAAUUUUUAUGAUAAAAAGGGUUUCGAACAUCGAUGGAAAAACUAUUUGGAGCGAAAAGGAGAUUACGUUGGAUCACGUACUUUUGGGCCCACCCUCGUAAAGCUACAAUAGUAAAUCAUGUACUGUAAAAUGAUUACACGUGAAAAAUUAAUAAGCAACGGUUACUUAGUUGGUUUGGAGUCGUAUGCAUGAACACAUUUCUUAAAAUGAUAAAAUAUUAUUCAAAUUACAUGCUAAUAUUAUUACCUGG